RNAcentral lists this ribosomal RNA (595 nucleotides) under Rosgorgia inexspectata. Its description in RNAcentral is "eukaryotic LSU rRNA". It matches the Rfam family "Eukaryotic large subunit ribosomal RNA", at positions 409 to 811 of the family's 3401-position model. Lineage: Eukaryota; Metazoa; Cnidaria; Anthozoa; Malacalcyonacea; Rosgorgiidae. The record is from RNAcentral.
UGAAAGGGAAGCGAAUGGAGUUAGCAAUUCGCCCUGUCAGACUCAGCUGCUCGUGCGUCGCGACGUGCGCGCUCUCGAUCCGCAUGGACGAGGCGUGCACGGGUGCGACGUUCGGACGGCGCACUUCUGGCGGGCGAGCGUCAGCGUCGGUUGUCGACGGGCGAUAAGGACGCAUGGAAGGUGGACCUGUACUCGUACGGGUUGUUAAGCCUUGCGCUCGCAUAGCUCGACGGCGACCGUGGCUCUUGGAGGCGACGCGUGCCUGGCUGGCGACUCACUCGAUCGUUCCGGCAUGUCGACUGCGGCGGACGGCACGCCUGUGCGCUCAAACUGCUGCCGAUCGAUUGUUGUGAUGUUCGCACACUACGCGUCGAAGAUGCUGACGACCAUACGGCUCCAUCCGACCCGUCUUGAAACACGGACCAAGGAGUCUAACAUGUGCGCGAGUCUCCGGGUGAUUGAAACCCGUGGGCAUAAUGAAAGUAAAGAUCGUCCUAGACGAUUGAGGUGAGAAGCUUCUUCCACAUCGGGGAGGCUGCAUCAUCGACCGACCUAUUCUGCUCUCAGAAAGGUUUGAGUAAGAGCGUAUCUGUUG